ACUGGUGACAAGGCUGACUAGCUGCGGUGGAUGGUCCAGAGGGGGCUGGCAGGGGCGGGAUUCAGAAGAGAACAUUCAUUUUUCUCUCAUCCAGGAGCCUGAAUGAAGAGCAAUCUUUUUGUUUGUUACAGUGAUGGGUAAUUUGGAGCACUUCCCUUUGCAUGAAGAAAUUUGCUAUUCUAAUCAAAAUCUCGUCCCUUUCUACAAACCAUUAUAAGAUACUUAUGAAAAUAGGCAGAUUCAGAUUUCCUGUUUGAAUUUUUGUCAGCUUUCACUUUUAUGCUCAUUUGCAGAAUCACAUAACUAUGAAAGGCCAAUUAGCUCUAAGUCCCGGGAAAGUGACAGAAUAAAUUGCUUUCUUCCUAGCAAAUCAAGAAUAAUAUUGUGGGUGCAGUGCAAAAGUGUCCACCCAGAGAUUUUAGUUCAUUUUAUCAAUCUAAUAGAGUGCUUUCGGCCUGUCUUCUGUGACUCAUACUUCCAGUAUCCCCUUUCCUGUCAGAGCUCUUAUAUAACACUCCUCUACUUUUGUGCUGAGAUAGGAUAAAUCUGUAAAUUUGAGCCGUGUGUUGGUCAAGAUGCUUAAUGUGGAAUAGACCUCUCACCCCAGUCAAAAUUUAUUUAAGUCACAUCAAAGAAUUCAUAGAAUUCUUAUUAGCAGGGUUGACUGUAACCAAAUUGAUAUCCCUUAAUGUAGCACAGUGAGCACCCAAAAUAUUUUUCCAAAGAGAGUGGCUGGGAUGAUGUCACUAAUAAUUGCAAUAGAGAGGCAAAUAUGACUGGGAACCAGAGGACAAGUGCAGUUUCCAAAAUCAAGCCAUUUCAAAAGAACAGCAGAUUACAGCUUUUUAGGGGAACUGCUCCUCCUGGCCAGGCAUAUGUGAAAAUUGCUUCCUGUCUCCAAGUUUCUCUCUGUGGCUCUGCUAUAUUUUUUGAAUACUUCGCCCCCAAGUGGCCUAGAGCAACUCUACCAUGCCUGGGAAGCUCGGGGCACCCCAAAGGAAAGAAACACAAUUCUUCAAGCUUGAGAUGACCCCUGGGAACAAGGCUGCUGGAACAGAGGGCUUGCCCAUCACUAAUAGGACUAGGACUUAAGAGCUUACAGAUGCGACAGACUUAUAAUGGACUUUGGAGAUUAUCAUAGUCUACUGACCCAUGGAAGGAAGCAGGAUGUUGUUUUGACACUCAAUGAACAAACUACAAAUAAUUCUGUUGAAUCAAGUUUCCUAAAAGACGAGUGGUCUAAAGGAAACGGUGUAAAUUGUGAAUCUCAUCAUAGAACUUCCAUCAAGAUAGAAAGAUGAUCCUGGAUUAUCUGGGUGAUCCCAGUCUAAUCACAUGGCUUCUUAAAAGUGGAAGAAGAGGCAGAAGAGAGAACAAGAGGGACAAGAAGCUGAGAGGGACUUUAACUGACUUGGAAAGUGAUAUGAACAUGAAAAUUCCACCGAGCAAGAAUGCAGAUGGCUGUCAGAAGAUGGAAAGAGCAACAAAACAACUUCUUUCCUAGACCCUCCAGCUAGGACUGUGAGGUCACUGGACUAACAUACGGAAGUGUAAGAUAAUAAAUCUCUGCUGUUUUAAGCCAUCAAAAAUGUGAUCUUUUCCUAACAGCUACAGAAAACUAAUAUACAUACUUUUCCUAUAUCUACAUUAUUAUGGCAAUUUACUGGUUAAAUAGCUUAAACAAAUUAUUACAUGGUAGCCACCUGAAAAAUAGUCUCUGUUAAUGUCAUUUUAAAUACUAUUCUAUUAUUAUUUUAAUCAUGUACUUUAAUUCAAACAUAUUUUAAUGAAUAAUUUCUUCUAAAAUUAUACACUCCAUAGACAAUAUUUUCAUAAAAUCAUUUAUGCUUCUACCUUUUCAUGAUAGGUGGAGAUCUGACAGAAAACUUUACAGGCGAUUUCAGUGAAAAUGUAUUAAAGUACGUGGCAUUGAAAUGGCAUAAUAGUAUGCAAAGAAUUUUAUUUCAGAUCUUCAUGACAAAUAAAAAAUGACAGCCACAGCUGACCAGGACAAAUGAUGUUCAUGUUUUUCAGAUGUGAGGGAAAAAAAAGUCCAUUUACCUUUAAAGGCCACUUACUGUUCAUGUCUAUCACACCUGUAGUCUAAUUUAUUAAAGUUUUAAAGUUUGAAAACUCUAUAUAAGAUUUCAUGAAGAUCCUUGUUCUAUCUCAAAUUUGCCACAGUGUUGUUAUAAGGAAGGGACGUGUAUUUCGUAACUAAUCACUCUGGCACCUCUGCUGAGUAAACAUCAAGCAUUUUGGAAAAUUCCACAUAUCCCUCCUCUUCACUCAAAAGAGAAACUGAGACAGGAUCAAAACUGUUCCAGAUCAUUGAAGACUCUGGGUAGGAUGGGAAGUGAGCCUAUGUCGGAGAGCUCAAAGGCUCCCAUUUUCUGCUUUGCCUCACUGCAGUGUGUCUUCCGUGAAAUGCAUUCUUUCUCCAAGCUCUCAUGUAAUAGUCACACUGUUGUCUAUUCCCUUUUACUUUCCACUUCAAAACAGACAAAUAAGGACACGGAGGGAACAUAAGUGAGAAAUACUUCAAAGUCAGUUUUCUGCUUGUCAUGGCCUAAACUUGUCUUUCUCCAAUCCCAAGAGAGACUGGCUGGAAGACUGAGGUUUGACUUGAACACUUAAGAAUGUUCCGGAAGUGUGCUUUGUAGCAAUGCCCCUGAAGAAAAUGAAUGUUUCCUUCACGAGCCGCUGUGAAGCAAGGCAAUGCACACAGAGACGCAUCGUUCAUCUUCUUCUGGCUCGAGGGGCUUCUCCCACCAGCCUGUUUGACAUAUAAAAUUUCCACCUCACUUGGUGGUAAAGCUGCCUGCUGCUUCCUCUGUAUAGGGAAAAGUGGAGAGAGUUCUAUAAAGGUAAAGGAGUUGUGACUUCUGUAAAAGGAAAGUACAGAGAAUUGAGUGGGAAGGGACAUAAAAGAGGAGACACAAUUAAACUUAGAAUAAGUGGAAGAUGGUAAAAGAACUGAAAUCCUACCAAGAAAAGGAUCAUUGUGUAACCUCAUAGAUUUCAAGGACCAU
Ictidomys tridecemlineatus (thirteen-lined ground squirrel) is the source of this 3032-nucleotide non-coding RNA. Lineage: Eukaryota; Metazoa; Chordata; Mammalia; Rodentia; Sciuridae. The record is from RefSeq and is a predicted model, not a curated record.